RNAcentral lists this long non-coding RNA (1535 nucleotides) under Cyanistes caeruleus (blue tit). RNAcentral's name for it is "lncRNA (ENSCCEG00000005415.1)". The record is from RNAcentral. Lineage: Eukaryota; Metazoa; Chordata; Aves; Passeriformes; Paridae.
CCCCAAAUGCCCCAAAAAUGCCCCAAAAUUGCCCUAAAUGCCCCAAAAAUGUCCCCAAAAUUGCCCAAAAAUACCCCAAAAAUGUCCCAAAAUGACCUCAAAAUACCCCAAAAAUGCCCCAAAAUUGCCCUAAAUGUCCCAAAAAUGUCCCCAAAUGGCCCCAAAUGCCCCAAAAAUGUCCCCAAAUGUCCCAAAAAUCCCCAAAUGUCCCAAAAAUUCCCCAAAAAUGUCCAGAAAUGUCCCAAAAAUCCCCCAAAUGUCCCAAAAAUGCCCCAAAAAUGCCCCCAAAUUUCCCCAAAUAUCCCCAAAAAUUUCCCCAAAUGCACAAAAAUGCCCCAAAAUUGCCCCAAAAAUGCCAAAAAAUUGCCCCAAAAACGCCCCAAAAUUGCCCCAAACGCCCCAAAAAAUCCCCAAAAUUCCCCAAAUUCCCGAUUUUUCCCCCGGGAAUUCCCGGGCUGUCCCCAAAAUGUCCGGAAUUGUCCCCAAAUCCAGGGAAAUCCAUCUGGGAGUUGGUGGUGGAGCAGUUCGAGGAUCUCCUGGUUCGGAUCCUGCUCUUGGCCGCCUGCAUUUCCUUCGUCCUGGCCUGGUUCGAGGAGGGCGAGGAAACCAUCACGGCCUUCGUCGAGCCCUUCGUCAUCCUCCUCAUCCUCAUCGCCAACGCCGUCGUCGGGGUCUGGCAGGUGAGGGAACGCGCGGGGAAUUCCGGGAAUUCUUCGGGAAUUUUUCGGGAAUUUUUAGGGGAUUUUUAGGGAAUUUUUUGGGGAUUUUGAAGGGAAUUUUUUGGGAUUUUUUAGGGAAUUUUUUGGGAUUUUUUGGGAUUUUUUUGGGAUUUUUUAGGGAUUUUUUAGGGAAUUUUUUUGGGAUUUUUUAGGGAAUUUUUUGGGAUUUUUUUGGGAUUUUUUAGGGAAUUUUUUGGGGGAUUUUUUUGGGAUUUUUUAGGGAAUUUUUUGGGAUUUUUUUUGGGAUUUUUUUGAGAUUUUUUGGGAUUUUUUAGGGAAUUUUUUGGGGAUUUUUUUUUUAUUUUUUAGGGAUUUUUGGGAGAUUUUUUGGGAAUUUUUUGGGAUUUUUUGGGGAUUUUUUGGGAUUUUUUAGGGAAUUUUUUGGGAUUUUUUAGGGAUUUUUUGGGAUUUUUUAGGGAAUUUUUUGGGAUUUUUGCGGAUUUUUUGGGGAUUUUUUUGGGGAUUUUUUGGGAUUUUUUGGGGAUUUUUUGGGAUUUUUUAGGGAUUUUUGGGGGAUUUUUUGGGGGGAAUUUUUGGGGAUUUUUAUGGAAUAUUUUUGGGAUUUUGGGGAAUUUUGGGGGGGAAUUUUUUUGGGAAUUUUUUGGAUUUUUUGGGGAAUUUUUGGGGAUUUUGGGGGAUUUUUUAGGGAAUUUUUUGGGGAUUUUUUCGGGAUUUUUUGGGAUUUUUUAGGGAUUUUUUUUUUAUUUUUUAGGGAUUUGGGGGGAUUUGGGGGGGAUUUGGGGGGAAUUUUUUGGGAAUUUUUGGGGAAUUUUUGGGGAAUUUUGGGGGGAUUUUGGGGGGGUUUUGGGGGGGUCU